UUUGAUCUGGCUCAGAUUGAACGCUGGCGGGAUGCUUUACACAUGCAAGUCGAACGGCAGCACGGACUUCGGUCUGGUGGCGAGUGGCGAACGGGUGGUAAUGUAUCGGAACGUGCUAAUGUAGGGGAUAACUACGCGAAAGCGUAGCUAAUACUGCAUACGCCCUUCAGGGGAAAGCGGGGGGACCUUCGGGCCUCGCACUAUUGAAACGGCCGAUAUCGGAUUAGCUGGUUGGUGGGGUAACGGCUCGCAAGGCGACGAUCCGUAGCUGGUUUGAAGGACGACCAGCCACACUGGGACGAGACACGGCCGAACUCUACGGGAAGGCAGCAGUGGGAAUUUACGGACAAUGGGGAAACCUGAUCCAGCCAUCCCGCGUGUGCGAUGAAGGCCUUCGGGUUGUAAAGCACUUUUGGUAGGAAAGAAACGGCACGGGAUAAUACCCCGUGCAACUGACGGUACCUGCAGAAUAAGCACCGGCUAACUACGUGCCAGCAGCCGCGGUAUUACGUAGGGUGCAAGCGUUAAUCGGAAUUACUGGGCGUAAAGCGUGCGUCGGUUCGGAAAGAAGGUGUGAAAUCAGGCUUAACUUUAGGAACUGCAUUUUUAACUACCGAACUAGAGUGUCAGAGGAGGUGGAAUUCGCGAUGUAGCAGUGAAAUGCGUAGAUAUGCGGAGGAACACCGAUGGCGAAGCAGCCUCCUGGGAUAACACUGACGCUCAUACGCAAGCGUGGGGAGCAGGCAGGUUAGAUACCCUGGUAGUCACGCCUAAGCUUGUCAACUGACUGUUGGGGCCUUCGGGCCUUGGUAGCGCAGCUAACGCGUGAAGUUGACCGCCUGGGAAAUACGGUCGCAAGAUUAAAACUCAAAGGAAUUGACGGGGACCCGCACAAGCGGUGGAUGAUGUGGAUUAAUUCGAUGCAACGCGAAAAACCUUAUUGACAUGUCUGGAGUCGAAAGAGAUUUGGGAGUGCUCGCAAGAAGAGAACCGGAACACAGGUGCUGCAUGGCUGUCGUCAGCUCGUGUCGUGAGAUGUUGGGUUAGUCCGCAACGAGCGCAACCCUUGUCGUGGUUGCUACGAAAGGGCACUCUAAUGGACAUUGACAAACCGGAGGAAAGAGGUGGGGAUGACGUCGAUCUCAUGGCCUUAUGGUGGGGCUUCACGCGUCAUGCAAUGGUCAGGACAGGGUCGCCAACCCGCGAGGAGCCAAUCCCAGAAACCCGAUCGUAGUCGGAUCACAGUCUGCAACUCGACUGCGUGAAGUCGGAAUCGCUAGUAAUCGCGGAUCUUGUCGCAGUGAAUACGUUCAGGUCUUGUACACACCGCCCGUCACACCAUGGGAGUGGGUUUUACCGAAGUAGUUAGCUAACCGUGGGAGGGCGAUUACCACGGUAGGAUUCAUGACUGGGGUGAAGUCGUAACAAGGUAG
RNAcentral lists this ribosomal RNA (1433 nucleotides) under uncultured Bordetella sp. RNAcentral describes it as "partial 16S-23S ribosomal RNA intergenic spacer". It matches the Rfam family "Bacterial small subunit ribosomal RNA". Lineage: Bacteria; Pseudomonadati; Pseudomonadota; Betaproteobacteria; Burkholderiales; Alcaligenaceae. The record is from RNAcentral.